Molecule: ribosomal RNA, 506 nt
Filed under: uncultured bacterium
Lineage: Bacteria
Description: partial 16S ribosomal RNA
Rfam family: Bacterial small subunit ribosomal RNA
Source: RNAcentral
AUUGAACGCUGGCGGCAGGCCUAACACAUGCAAGUCGGACGGUAGCACAGAGGAGCUUGCUCCUCGGGUGACGAGUGGCGGACGGGUGAGUAAUGUCUGGGGAUCUGCCCGAUGGAGGGGGAUAACUACUGGAAACGGUAGCUAAUACCGCAUAACGUCGCAAGACCAAAGUGGGGGACCUUCGGGCCUCACACCAUCGGAUGUGCCCAGAUGGGAUUAGCUAGUAGGUGGGGUAAUGGCUCACCUAGGCGACGAUCCCUAGCUGGUCUGAGAGGAUGACCAGCCACACUGGAACUGAGACACGGUCCAGACUCCUACGGGAGGCAGCAGUGGGGAAUAUUGCACAAUGGGCGCAAGCCUGAUGCAGCCAUGCCGCGUGUAUGAAGAAGGCCUUCGGGUUGUAAAGUACUUCCAGCGGGGAGGAAGGCGGUGAAGUUAAUAACUUCACCGAUUGACGUUACCCGCAGAGGAAGCACCGGCUAACUCCGUGCCAGCCGCCGCGGUAA